UUCCGGUUGAUCCUGCCGGAGGUCACUGCUAUUGGGGUCCGGCUAAGCCAUGCGAGCGGAGGGCGCGGUCGAAAGAUCGUGGCCCCGCACACGGCUCAGUAACACGUAGUCAACCUACCCUUGGGACGGGGACAACCUCGGGAAACUGAGGCCAAUCCCCGAUAGGCGAGGGACGCUGGGAUGCCUCCUCGCCCAAAGCACCGGCGCCCGAGGAUGGGACUGCGGCCUAUCAGGCUGUUGGUGGUGUUACGGACCACCAAACCUACGACGGGUACGGGCGAUGGGAGUCGGAGCCCGGAGAUGGGGACUGAGACAAGGCCCCAGGCCCUACGGGGCGCAGCAGGCGCGAAAACUCCGCAAUGCGCGCAAGCGUGACGGGGGGACCCCAAGUGCCGUUGGUCUUUCGAUCGACGGUUUUUCGGAAGUCCAAGAAGCUUCCAGAAUAAGGGCUGGGCAAGACUGGUGCCAGCCGCCGCGGUAACACCAGCAGCCCAAGUGGUGGCCACGAUUAUUGGGCCUAAAGCGCUCGUAGCCGGGCCAGCAAGUCCCUUGUGAAAUCGGGCCGCCCAACGGUUCGGCGUGCAAGGGAUACUGUUGGUCUUGAGGCCGGGAGAGGUCGGAGGUACUCCUGGGGUAGCGGUGAAAUGCUCUAAUCCUAGGGGGACCACCAGUGGCGAAGGCGUCCGACCAGAACGGACCUGACGGUGAGGGGCGAAGGCUAGGGGAGCGAACGGGAUUAGAUACCCCGGUAGUCCUAGCUGUAAAGCAUGCGGGCCAGGUGUCUAGCGCUCCUCGAGGGCGCUAGGUGCCGGAGGGAAGCCGUUAAGCCCGCCGCCUGGGAAGUACGGCCGCAAGGCUGAAACUUAAAGAAAUUGGCGGGGG
This 882-nucleotide ribosomal RNA is filed under the name uncultured archaeon. RNAcentral's name for it is "bacterial SSU rRNA". It matches the Rfam family "Archaeal small subunit ribosomal RNA", at positions 1 to 874 of the family's 1478-position model. The record is from RNAcentral.